This is a long non-coding RNA of Carassius gibelio (silver crucian carp), 280 nucleotides long. RefSeq lists it as uncharacterized. The record is from RefSeq and is a predicted model, not a curated record. The transcript is spliced from 3 exons. Lineage: Eukaryota; Metazoa; Chordata; Actinopteri; Cypriniformes; Cyprinidae.
AAAGAAUGUCACAGCAGGGAUUGUAACCAAACGGUAGUGGAAGGUUGUUACUGUCCUGAUGGCCAAUAUCGGGUUAAUAUGACAUCAGAUAAGUGUACAACUUACUGCGAUUGCAUUGGCCCUGAUGGAUUACCUAGAAAGCCUGGGGACACGUGGACAUCUGAGUGUUUCUUGUAUAAAUGUGUAAAUCCUGGCAUUACUUCGAAAGAGCCAUUAAAGUGUCCAACUGAAAUGCCCUGUCCUGACGGAUAUAUAAAAACUGUUGUAAACUGCUGUCCAA